GAGCCGAAGGGAUGUUCCCGUACUAAAAAAAGAAACAGAGCCCCUUUUCUCCCCCACCCGCGUCCACCUUCUUCCUCCACCCGCUUCCACCACCGAGCCGCGCCGCACCCGCCCUGAAACCGGCCGUUGCGCCACCUUCGACCCUUGAUCCGGCCGCCGCGCCAUCUCCGACCCCCGAUCCGGCCACCGCGCCGCUUUCUACCACCGGAUCCUCCCGCGGACCCACCUUCUCCCCCUGGAUCCGCCUCCGGCGGCCCCUCCUCCCCUGGAUCCGCCCGCGGCGCUAACCGCCCAUGCCCCGCCCCGCCCUGGACCCACUCACCUCCCACCGCCGGUGUCGCGCCGCCCCGAACCUCCCCAUCGCCUGUGCCGUGCCGCCCCGAACCUCCCCGUCGCCGGUGUCGUGCCGUGGCCCGAACCUCCCCGCUGUCGGUGCCCCGCCCCCCCCCCCUCUCCCACACCGGCAGGGACCCCCGCCACCGGUGCCCUCUUCACCGCCGGCCCCGUCAACACCAGGCGCCGGAACGUCCUCAACAGCGACGAGAUCGACCGCCUCCCGAGUCGCGCGCCCCCGCGUUCCCUUCCGGCGACCGGCCCACCCCCCAACUUCUUCUGAACUUCUCCAACUUCCUCCCUAGUCUAGAGCUUUAAGUCCAGGCCCCUACAGCAAAAAAUCAGCGUCCACUCCUAUGGAAAUUCUUCUCCAAAAUCUUCCGGCGAUGUGGGCAUCCAGUCGCGGAGAGAUGUGCGGAGCGCUGCAUUCCGUCGUCGUCGACCCCGUGGCCGUGGGCAACCAGGCAGCUGAUGUAGAUACAUCCUGAGCGGUAGUGCUAUUCUACUGUCCACAUUGCAGAUAUAUGGUUGGUGAUUUGUCACUUGUUAAAUUACAUGAUGAGAUGACAUGAGCUGUGGAAAAGGAGCGAGCAGGACAUAAUAAAGAUGAUGUCCUGACUUCAUUUUUGGGACGGUUCGAAAUGUGUUUGGGUCAAUUUCUUCUUUAUUUUCUGGGUCACUAUCUUGUUCUUGCUCAUUUUGUUGAAAGAUGGUCUUGUGUUCUGUGAAGAUGUGAACAAAAAUAUGUAUUCACAACAAAGAACACAAAGAUGUUGUGGUAAUGUAAAGUCCGCCCCAGCAUCUGUAGUUUUCCAGAUUGCUAUGAAUAUUUUGUAAUCUUAACGGUGGCUUUGAUGCAAUUUAUUUCUGUAGAUGUAUAAAACAUGUUCGAUUCAUGGUGAACAAAAACAUGUUGCUGAA
Triticum aestivum (bread wheat) is the source of this 1254-nucleotide long non-coding RNA. RefSeq lists it as uncharacterized. Lineage: Eukaryota; Viridiplantae; Streptophyta; Magnoliopsida; Poales; Poaceae. The transcript is spliced from 2 exons. The record is from RefSeq and is a predicted model, not a curated record.